GAUGAACGCUGGCGGCGUGCUUAAUACAUGCAAGUCGAACGGAGACUGUAGCAAUACUGUCUUAGUGGCGAACGGGUGAGUAACGCGUUGGUGACCUGCCCCGAAGAGGGGGAUAACAGUCCGAAAGGAUUGCUAAUACCCCAUGUGGUCGUUUGGAUUAGAUGCCUUACGACUAAACGGAUUUAUUCGCUUCGGGAGGGGCCUGCGUCCCAUCAGCUAGUUGGUAGGGUAAUAGCCUACCAAGGCGAUGACGGGUAGGGGACCUGAGAGGGUGGCCCCCCACAAUGGAACUGAAACACGGUCCAUACACCUACGGGUGGCAGCAGUAGGGAAUAUUGGUAAUCUGGGGAAACCGGGAACCAGCAACGCCGCGUGCGCGAUGAAGGCCUUCGGGUUGUAAAGCGCUUUUUAAAGGGAUGAGGAAGGACAGUACCUUUAGAAUAAGCCUCGGCUAACUACGUG
This 462-nucleotide ribosomal RNA is filed under the name uncultured bacterium. RNAcentral describes it as "bacterial SSU rRNA". It matches the Rfam family "Bacterial small subunit ribosomal RNA", at positions 28 to 507 of the family's 1533-position model. The record is from RNAcentral.